This 59-nucleotide non-coding RNA is filed under the name Heterosigma akashiwo. Lineage: Eukaryota; Raphidophyceae; Chattonellales; Chattonellaceae. The record is from RNAcentral.
AAACAAAACAAAAAAAAGAAAAGAAAAAGGAAAAAGGAAAGGAAGGUCUGAUGGUUGCC